Molecule: unclassified non-coding RNA, 429 nt
Filed under: Hevea brasiliensis (rubber tree)
Lineage: Eukaryota; Viridiplantae; Streptophyta; Magnoliopsida; Malpighiales; Euphorbiaceae
Source: RNAcentral
UUCAAAUUAGCAUGUGGUGUGGGUAUCUUGUAUUUUUCUUUGUUCGGCUCUUUUGGAUAUAUAUAUCUUAUUUUGUUCAUGCAUAUUCUCUGUUGUGAAUAUUGUAUUGUUAAAUGACUGCAUUUCAAAUUGGUUCCUAUGCGUGUGUUUAUUGUAAUUACCUGAUUCAAUGUUGAUCUUAGAUCUUGAUUGGUUGUUAUUGUAUUUGGAUGUCGGUUUGGCUGUUUGAGGCUUGGUUGACUUUUCCUGUAACCAUCCGGUCAUCCAGAUUGAUCUUAAAUUUUUUUUCUUAAAAUUUUUUUUUAUGAUGCCUGUGUAUUUAUGAUUUGAUCAGCAAAUGAUUUGACCCUCAGUUUGGUUGGUUGAGAAACCUUUGGAAUAGAAACGUCUUUGAGUUUUGAAGCUAUAGUCUUGAUUUUAAAGAACAUG